CAGUUAUCGUUUAUUUGAUAGUACCUUACUACUUGGAUAACCGUGGUAAUUCUAGAGCUAAUACAUGCUGAAAACCCCGACUUCCGAAGGGGUGUAUUUAUUAGAUAAAAAACCAAUGCCCUCCGGGGCUCCGUGGUGAUUCAUAAUAACUUAACGAAUCGCAUGGCCUUGCGCCGGCGAUGGUUCAUUCAAAUUUCUGCCCUAUCAACUUUCGAUGGUAGGAUAGUGGCCUACCAUGGUGUCAACGGGUAACGGGGAAUUAGGGUUCUAUUCCGGAGAGGGAGCCUGAGAAACGGCUACCACAUCCAAGGAAGGCAGCAGGCGCGCAAAUUACCCAAUCCCAAUUCGGGGAGGUAGUGACAAUAAAUACUGAUUGCGAAUUCUUUCGGAUUUGCAAAUUGGAAUGAGUACAAUUUAAAUCCCUUAACGAGGAACAAUUGGAGGGCAAGUCUGGUGCGCUCGCUGGCGCCAGACCACCAAACCGGUGGGGACCCUUCGGGGUUUCCUGCCAGGCAUCCGGUACGGGGAACGGCAGCGAUGCCCGAUCCCGUGGCGCACUUCCGCCGUAACGCAUGGCAGGAUGCCGGCGGUGCUACACCGCUUCAGGGACAUGCUAUUUCACCUUCGUGGGUCGAUGAUGUUAGGCCAGCAGCCGCGGUAAUUCCAGCUCCAAUAGCGUAUAUUAAAGUUGUUGCAGUUAAAAAGCUCGUAGUUGAACCUUGGGCCUGGCUGUCCGGUCCGCCUCACCGCGUGCACUGGUUCGGCCGGGCCUUUCCUUCUGGGGAGCCGCAUGCCCUUCACUGGGUGUGUCGGGGAACCAGGACUUUUACUUUGAAAAAUUAGAGUGUUCAAGCAGCCUAUGCUCGAAUACAUUAGCAUGUAUAUAGAAUAGACGUGCGGUUCUAUUUUGUUGGUUUCUAGGA
This 923-nucleotide ribosomal RNA is filed under the name Loxosporopsis corallifera. RNAcentral's name for it is "bacterial SSU rRNA". It matches the Rfam family "Eukaryotic small subunit ribosomal RNA", at positions 107 to 856 of the family's 1831-position model. Lineage: Eukaryota; Fungi; Ascomycota; Lecanoromycetes; Pertusariales; Pertusariaceae. The record is from RNAcentral.